GACGAACGCUGGCGGCGUGCCUAAUACAUGCAAGUUGAGCGCUGAAGGUUGGUACUUGUACCUACUGGAUGAGCAGCGAACGGGUGAGUAACGCGUGGGGCAUCUGCCUUUGAGCGGGGGACAACAUUUGGAAACGAAUGCCAAUACCGCAUAAAAACUUUAAACACAAGUUUUAAGUUUGAAAGCUGCAAUUGCAUCACUCAAAGAUGAUCCCGCGUUGUAUUAGCUAGUUGGUGAGGUAAAGGCUCACCAAGGCGAUGAUACAUAGCCGACCUGUGAGGGGGAACGGCCGCAGUUGGAGUGAGACACGGCCCAGACUCCUUCACAAGGCAGCAGUAGGGAAUCUUCGGAAAUGGACGAGAAUCUGAACCAGCAACACCGAGUGAAUGAAGAAGGUUAUCGGAUCGUAAAACUCUGUUGGUAGAGAAAAAAGUUGGUGAGAGUGGAAAGCUCAUAAAGUGACGGUAACUACACAGAAAGGGACGGCUAACUACAUG
Molecule: ribosomal RNA, 497 nt
Filed under: uncultured bacterium
Lineage: Bacteria
Description: partial 16S ribosomal RNA
Rfam family: Bacterial small subunit ribosomal RNA
Source: RNAcentral